Phacochoerus africanus (Common warthog) is the source of this 2058-nucleotide long non-coding RNA. RefSeq lists it as uncharacterized. Lineage: Eukaryota; Metazoa; Chordata; Mammalia; Artiodactyla; Suidae. The transcript has 3 exons. The record is from RefSeq and is a predicted model, not a curated record.
ACGUUGGGAUUAGAAAAGGGGCUUUAAAGGCAUAUCUGGAAGAGCUGACUCAUACACCUCAGGAAAAGCAGAGCGGGAGGUGGGUCAGCAGCUAAUAAGCACAUCAGGAAGCACAGAGAAGUGCUGUCUAUCCACCUGUGUGUCCUCACAGCCCUUGAGUGAAGAGGGUUGAGCAUCAUCGUGACCUCGGGGAUUAGAGCUGGAAGUCAGUGUCCUCAAGAAAGUGGCGGAAGGGGAACUGUGUGGAGCAGUGUGCUGGUAAAUGUUUAAUAACACGCUCCCAAAAAUAUCUGCAGCAGCGUGCCCUGAUUUCCAUGGUGCACACACUCCAGCUGGCAGAAUUCCUGACAAUGUAACAAUUGGCUCCUUCAAGCCAGUUCAAUUGGUGCCAGCACACCAACUGGGGGAUGCUGUCACCAACGCUGAAGCUGGAGGAUGGAGCACAGGAAGGCGAAGCAAGGUCGGAACCCACUGCCUCCCUGUAUCCCAAGCUUAUCUUCCGGAGCAUUCUUCCUGGAAAAUGGCACUUACGCUUUAUGCCACCACGACUGAAGGCCUGUCUUCCUUUCUGAGGGAGCAGGCGAGCCUUCUUGGGUGGGAUGGAAAAUACGUUUCUAUUCUUAGCAUUAUUAAUUCUAAUCCAGGAGGGCACAAAGAGAAGACCACUUCCCUCUGUGCCCUCAGGACGUGUAUGCAGGGGAGACGAGAAUUAAAUAAUGAACAGGUCCCAAACAAAGCCAUUCGAUGCUGGGCACUGCAACGUCUUUCUGUUUCUCAAUGCUACUAAAACCCCACAAUGAGCUCUUCUGGUAACACAGACCAGAUUUCUAGAUGUCCUACUGGCAGCCGACCUUUUCUCGUGAACUCCAGUCAGUGGCCAAGGGAGAGGAGCAUCAGUGCUUUAAAAUCUCUUUUCUAUGCCUGAAGCAAACAUUUUACAACAUUUCUCCUUGAUACGAAAUCUCUGCUUGGACAUCUGGCUUCACAGUGAGGAACUUUCAAUACACUAGCUUCAAAGAAAGGGCUUGGCCCUGCUGGUGCAGUGAUGCCAGAAGAAUGUUCCACGGUCUUUCUACAGAACUAUUUCUAACAAUUCCCCCCAAUGAACUUCUGAGAGUCCAGUGGAGAGAGUUAACUAACAGAUAGCUCGGCUUUGGUGUGCGCCUGACGGGCCCUUGCUGAGCUCAGAAACGAGGGAUAAACAAGGUGGAGGACGUUUUAUUAGAAUCUGCCCACGACGUCCCUGUUACCAGCAGAUCGGCGUUACCUUCACAGUCUGCUGCGCCAUCGCAAAGCCGUCACAGGCAUGCUGCCGUCAAGAAAAUAACAGGAGAGGGAAGGGACAUGAUUGGUUUCCAGAGCCUUCAUGUAUGAGACGACAGCAUUCAUUUAUUCAGCAUAUUUCUAGAACUUCCAGUGAACCAAACUCCGAGGGCAGCGCUUGCUCUCAGGAAGCUUAGAGUCUGCUGGAAGGACAUUCAUCCAAACAGAGGCUCAGCAUCUCCUCUUUGCAAUGGGAAAACCCUCUCUUAAAAUCACAGACUAUUUCGGGAAGGGUGUGGUUAUCUUGUGAGGCCACAAUCCUGACUGACGUCGUGAGGGUGUUUGCAGUUUCUCUUUGUCCCCUUCGGGGGAUAUCCGCGUGGCUCACUACGCACUGUGUCUGGCGCAGCGUGUUGUUCCAGAACCACCUGGAGAUGAAGUACAAGCUCUAUGUCACCUCCCUAGAGCCUGAAGCGCCUGAGCAGCGAAACACACUCAAGCUCAAGGUUUUGGAUAAAGGAAAAACUUGGGGACCGGCAUUACAGUGUGGCGAAAACUUCACUGGAUAAAGGAACAAAGCUGGCAAGAGCUUCUCUCUGACACUCCACAAUCUUAAAGGGAAAGGACUCUCUGUAGGGAGCCUGUGCCGUCACCAGAGAGCGUGAUGGUUGAGGGCGAGCUGUCGAUACAGUGGUGAGAAGGGCAACAUCUAGACAAGUGGUUCUCAAAGGUUUUGGUCUAUUCUUUAACAAUAAAGAAUCCCAAAAAGGUCUUAUUUAUGUAGGUUCCAUCAGU